Molecule: ribosomal RNA, 495 nt
Filed under: uncultured bacterium
Lineage: Bacteria
Description: partial 16S ribosomal RNA
Rfam family: Bacterial small subunit ribosomal RNA
Source: RNAcentral
AUGAACGCUGGCGGCGUGCCUAAUACAUGCAAGUCGAGCGAACAGACGAGGAGCUUGCUCCUCUGACGUUAGCGGCGGACGGGUGAGUAACACGUGGAUAACCUACCUAUAAGACUGGGAUAACUUCGGGAAACCGGAGCUAAUACCGGAUAAUAUAUUGAACCGCAUGGUUCAAUAGUGAAAGACGGUUUUGCUGUCACUUAUAGAUGGAUCCGCGCCGCAUUAGCUAGUUGGUAAGGUAACGGCUUACCAAGGCAACGAUGCGUAGCCGACCUGAGAGGGUGAUCGGCCAUACUGGAACUGAGACACGGUCCAGACUCCUACGGGAGGCAGCAGUAGGGAAUCUUCCGCAAUGGGCGAAAGCCUGACGGAGCAACGCCGCGUGAGUGAUGAAGGUCUUCGGAUCGUAAAACUCUGUUAUUAGGGAAGAACAAAUGUGUAAGUAACUAUGCACGUCUUGACGGUACCUAAUCAGAAAGCCACGGCUAACUACGU